GGGUCAGUAGGUUGGUCGUGCCACCGGUACGUACUGGUCUCACUGAUUCCUCCUUCCUGAAGAACCGUAAUGCCAUUAAUUUGGUGUUGCGGGGAAACAGGACUGUUACUUUGAGAAAAUUAGAGUGUUUAAAGCAAGCUAACGCUUGAAUACAUUAGCAUGGAAUAACGAAAUAGGACGAUCGAUCCUAUUUUGUUGGUUUCUAGGAUUGACGUA
Molecule: ribosomal RNA, 216 nt
Filed under: Glomeromycotina sp.
Lineage: Eukaryota; Fungi; Glomeromycota
Description: partial small subunit ribosomal RNA
Rfam family: Eukaryotic small subunit ribosomal RNA (bases 40-216)
Source: RNAcentral